RNAcentral lists this ribosomal RNA (206 nucleotides) under uncultured bacterium. RNAcentral describes it as "partial 16S ribosomal RNA". It matches the Rfam family "Bacterial small subunit ribosomal RNA", at positions 1294 to 1500 of the family's 1533-position model. The record is from RNAcentral.
CGGAUUGAAGGCUGAAAUUCGCCUUCAUGAAGCUGGAAUUGCUAGUAAUGGCAGGUCAGCAUACUGCCGUGAAUACGUUCCCGGGCCUUGUACACACCGCCCGUCACACCAUGAGAGUUGGAAAUACCCGAAGCCUGUGAGCUAACCUAAAGAGGCAGCAGUCGAAGGUAGAGCCAAUGAUUGGGGUGAAGUCGUAACAAGGUAAC